This 157-nucleotide long non-coding RNA is filed under the name Mus pahari (shrew mouse). Its description in RNAcentral is "lncRNA (MGP_PahariEiJ_G0032809.1)". Lineage: Eukaryota; Metazoa; Chordata; Mammalia; Rodentia; Muridae. The record is from RNAcentral.
CUCAUCAGCAGGAAUAGUCACAGGCUGUAACUGUGAUCAUCUCCCUGGAUGGAGAGGUGAGUUCCCAGAGAACAGGGCUUCACACCUUGACAGAUCGUGCAGGAGAGACCCCUAGUGGGCAGAUGUGUCUCUCACUGGAGCACGGAACAGUGCUCAC